Molecule: long non-coding RNA, 978 nt
Organism: Eucalyptus grandis
Lineage: Eukaryota; Viridiplantae; Streptophyta; Magnoliopsida; Myrtales; Myrtaceae
Exons: 3
Source: RefSeq, a predicted model, not a curated record
GGCGUUGAUCCAUCAUUCCGCACGACUUCAAUGAGAAUGAGGCAGUCCAUUUCAAGCACGAUCUUAUGAUCUUGUAGAUGUCGACUCAGAAAGUGAUCAAGGGUAUAGGCGAGUGCUUUAAACUCCGUUUCCAAAGCCGAAUGAGAUCGAAAAGAUCUAGAAUACAAAUCAGUGAUCCUGCCUUGAUGAUCUCUGCAGACACACGCCAUUGAUCCCUUUGUGCUCCCCGGAUGAUAUGCCCCAUCAAUAUUAUACUUAAGAACUGCUAGAUCGGGAGGUUGCCACAAAUGAUCAGGAUUGAAGAUCUGCCGUCUGGAUCUCGAAGAUGUAACCUUGGGAACAACAGAAGCUCUGGUCUGAGCAAUCGUCAAUUCCACUACGAGAUUUGGGUCUGGUUCUUGAUCACGGAAGACGAAGUUGUUGCGCAUCCUCCAAAUUUGCCACAGGGUAUUGGCAAUUAGUUCAAUUCCAGCUCGAGUCCACGAACAGUGGAGGAAAAGGUGCUCGGUGGUUUCAGGAGCUUGCUGAUGACAGAGCCUGCAGCAGGGGUCCUCAACAAUGUGUCUACGAUAGAAGUUGGCUUUAGUAGUAAUUGCGUUCUAACAAACCGCCCAGGUAACAAGGCGGUAUGAAGGGGAAUUCCUUGCUCACUGGAUUGCUGAAGGGGCUGCUACUCCAUAGGUAAGUCAUGGGUCCGAGUGGUAACAUCGCCACAAGCCAGAUGCUCUAAAGUCACAUUUACUGGUGGGGGUAGUAAUGGGGCGUUCGGUAUCUGAACUGGUGGAGUUUCAAGGACGACUUCAUCCAGUUCUUUUGGGUUGUCUUGCGCAGCAUAAAAGGUGUGCCAAUAUGGGCUACGCUCUUGAACCUCCGCCCGAAGCCAUUGGCCAUAGGCCAUUUUGCCUCGACCAUCUAACUUGGCCUCAUCAAAAGGUAUGUCCUUACAGUAUGUCACGUAAUGACCCAGUUUGCCGCACC